CAAAGGGGGAUUUGCCCCAGUAACGGCGAGUGAAGCGGCAAGAGCUCAAAUUUGAAAUCUGGCCUCCCUUGGGGGGUCCGAGUUGUAAUUUGUAGAGGAUGCUUCGGGUGUGGCCGCCGUCUAAGUUCCUUGGAACAGGACGUCGUAGAGGGUGAGAAUCCCGUCUUGGGCGGCCGGUCCGCGCCCGUGUGAAGCUCCUUCGACGAGUCGAGUUGUUUGGGAAUGCAGCUCUAAGCGGGUGGUAAAUUUCAUCUAAAGCUAAAUACUGGCCGGAGACCGAUAGCGCACAAGUAGAGUGAUCGAAAGGUUAAAAGCACCUUGAAAAGGGAGUUAAACAGCACGUGAAAUUGUUGAAAGGGAAGCGCUUGCGGCCAGACUCGAGGGGCGGGGUUCAGCGGGUGCGCGUCACCCGUGCACUCCCCGUCCCCCCGGGCCAGCAUCAGUUUCGACGGCCGGUCAAAGGCCCCCGGAAUGUGUCGUCUCUAGGGACGUCUUAUAGCCGGGGGUGCAAUGCGGCCCGCCGGGACUGAGGAACGCGCUCCGGCUCGGAUGCUGGCGUAAUGGCCGUAAGCGGCCCGUCUUGAAACACGGACCCAAAA
RNAcentral lists this ribosomal RNA (599 nucleotides) under Microsporum canis. RNAcentral describes it as "partial large subunit ribosomal RNA". It matches the Rfam family "Eukaryotic large subunit ribosomal RNA", at positions 65 to 672 of the family's 3401-position model. Lineage: Eukaryota; Fungi; Ascomycota; Eurotiomycetes; Onygenales; Arthrodermataceae. The record is from RNAcentral.